RNAcentral lists this ribosomal RNA (496 nucleotides) under uncultured bacterium. RNAcentral describes it as "partial 16S ribosomal RNA". It matches the Rfam family "Bacterial small subunit ribosomal RNA", at positions 29 to 507 of the family's 1533-position model. The record is from RNAcentral.
AUGAACGCUGGCGGCGUGCCUCAUCCAUGCAAGUCGCGCGCACAGACGAGGAGCUUGCUCCUCUGACGUUAGCGGCGGACGGGUGAGUAACACGUGGAUAACCUACCUAUAAGACUGGGAUAACUUCGGGAAACCGGAGCUAAUACCGGAUAAUAUAUUGAACCGCAUGGUUCAAUAGUGAAAGACGGUUUUGCUGUCACUUAUAGAUGGAUCCGCGCCGCAUUAGCUAGUUGGUAAGGUAACGGCUUACCAAGGCAACGAUGCGUAGCCGACCUGAGAGGGUGAUCGGCCACACUGGAACUGAGACACGGUCCAGACUCCUACGGGAGGCAGCAGUAGGGAAUCUUCCGCAAUGGGCGAAAGCUUGACGGAGCAACGCCGCGUGAGUGAUGAAGGUCUUCGGAUCGUAAAACUCUGUUAUUAGGGAAGAACAAAUGUGUAAGUAACUAUGCACGUCUUGACGGUACCUAAUCAGAAAGCCACGGCUAACUACGUG